CGGAACGUGCCCAGUAGCGGGGGAUAACUACGCGAAAGCGUAGCUAAUACCGCAUACGCCCUUCGGGGGAAAGCAGGGGAUCGCAAGACCUUGCACUAUUGGAGCGGCCGAUAUCGGAUUAGCUAGUUGGUGAGGUAAUGGCUCACCAAGGCCGCGAUCCGUAGUUGGUUUGAGAGGACGACCAGCCACACUGGGACUGAGACACGGCCCAGACUCCUACGGGAGGCAGCAGUGGGGAAUUUUGGACAAUGGGGGAAACCCUGAUCCAGCCAUCCCGCGUGUGCGAUGAAGGCCUUCGGGUUGUAAAGCACUUUUGGCAGGAAAGAAACGGCGCGUGCUAAUACCAUGCGCAACUGACGGUACCUGCAGAAUAAGCACCGGCUAACUACGUGCCAGCAGCCGCGGUAAUACGUAGGGUGCAAGCGUUAAUCGGAAUUACUGGGCGUAAAGCGUGCGCAGGCGGUUCGGAAAGAAAGAUGUGAAAUCCCAGGGCUCAACCUUGGAACUGCAUUUUUAACUACCGGACUAGAGUAUGUCAGAGGGAGGUGGAAUUCCACGU
RNAcentral lists this ribosomal RNA (559 nucleotides) under uncultured bacterium. Its description in RNAcentral is "bacterial SSU rRNA". It matches the Rfam family "Bacterial small subunit ribosomal RNA", at positions 119 to 674 of the family's 1533-position model. The record is from RNAcentral.